This 668-nucleotide ribosomal RNA is filed under the name alpha proteobacterium IMCC15051. RNAcentral's name for it is "bacterial SSU rRNA". It matches the Rfam family "Bacterial small subunit ribosomal RNA", at positions 29 to 743 of the family's 1533-position model. Lineage: Bacteria; Pseudomonadati; Pseudomonadota; Alphaproteobacteria. The record is from RNAcentral.
ACGAACGCUGGCGGCAGGCUUAACACAUGCAAGUCGAGCGAAGACUUCGGUCUUAGCGGCGGACGGGUGAGUAACGCGUGGGAACGUACCCUUUACUGCGGAAUAGCCACUGGAAACGGUGAGUAAUACCGCAUACGCCCUUUGGGGGAAAGAUUUAUCGGUAAAGGAUCGGCCCGCGUUAGAUUAGGUAGUUGGUGGGGUAAUGGCCUACCAAGCCUACGAUCUAUAGCUGGUUUGAGAGGAUGAUCAGCCACACUGGGACUGAGACACGGCCCAGACUCCUACGGGAGGCAGCAGUGGGGAAUCUUGGACAAUGGGGGCAACCCUGAUCCAGCCAUGCCGCGUGAGUGAAGAAGGCCUUAGGGUCGUAAAGCUCUUUCGCCUGUGAUGAUAAUGACAGUAGCAGGUAAAGAAACCCCGGCUAACUCCGUGCCAGCAGCCGCGGUAAUACGGAGGGGGUUAGCGUUGUUCGGAAUUACUGGGCGUAAAGCGCGCGUAGGCGGACUGGAAAGUUGGGGGUGAAAUCCCAGGGCUCAACCCUGGAACUGCCUCCAAAACUAUCAGUCUAGAGUUCGAGAGAGGUGAGUGGAAUUCCGAGUGUAGAGGUGAAAUUCGUAGAUAUUCGGAGGAACACCAGUGGCGAAGGCGGCUCACUGGCUCGAUACUGA